AACGAACGCUGGCGGCAUGCCUAACACAUGCAAGUCGAACGAAGCCUUCGGGCUUAGUGGCGCACGGGUGCGUAACGCGUGGGAAUCUGCCCCUCGGUUCGGAAUAACAGUUAGAAAUGACUGCUAAUACCGGAUGAUGACGAAAGUCCAAAGAUUUAUCGCCGAGGGAUGAGCCCGCGUAGGAUUAGCUUGUUGGUGGGGUAAUGGCCCACCAAGGCGACGAUCCUUAGCUGGUCUGAGAGGAUGAUCAGCCACACUGGGACUGAGACACGGCCCAGACUCCUACGGGAGGCAGCAGUGGGGAAUAUUGGACAAUGGGCGAAAGCCUGAUCCAGCAAUGCCGCGUGAGUGAUGAAGGCCUUAGGGUUGUAAAGCUCUUUUACCAGGGAUGAUAAUGACAGUACCUGGAGAAUAAAGCUCCGGCUAACUCCGUGCCAGCAGCCGCGGUAAU
RNAcentral lists this ribosomal RNA (451 nucleotides) under uncultured bacterium. Its description in RNAcentral is "bacterial SSU rRNA". It matches the Rfam family "Bacterial small subunit ribosomal RNA", at positions 29 to 524 of the family's 1533-position model. The record is from RNAcentral.